GUCUCUGUGGCGCAAUCGGUUAGCGCGUUCGGCUGUUAACCGAAAGGUUGGUGGUCAAAGCCCACCCAGGGACG
This 74-nucleotide transfer RNA is filed under the name Nematostella vectensis (starlet sea anemone). It matches the Rfam family "tRNA". From Rfam's summary of the family: Transfer RNA (tRNA) molecules are approximately 80 nucleotides in length. Their secondary structure includes four short double-helical elements and three loops (D, anti-codon, and T loops). Further hydrogen bonds mediate the characteristic L-shaped molecular structure. tRNAs have two regions of fundamental functional importance: the anti-codon, which is responsible for specific mRNA codon recognition, and the 3' end, to which the tRNAs corresponding amino acid is attached (by aminoacyl-tRNA synthetases). tRNAs cope with the degeneracy of the genetic code in two manners: having more than one tRNA (with a specific anti-codon) for a particular amino acid; and 'wobble' base-pairing, i.e. permitting non-standard base-pairing at the 3rd anti-codon position. Lineage: Eukaryota; Metazoa; Cnidaria; Anthozoa; Actiniaria; Edwardsiidae. The record is from Rfam by way of RNAcentral.